GGAAUUUUGGACAAUGGACGCAAGUCUGAUCCAGCCAUUCCGCGUGCAGGAUGAAGGCCCUCGGGUUGUAAACUGCUUUUGUACGGAACGAAAAGGUCUCUCUUAAUACGGGGGGCUCAUGACGGUACCGUAAGAAUAAGCACCGGCUAACUACGUGCCAGCAGCCGCGGUAAUACGUAGGGUGCAAGCGUUAAUCGGAAUUACUGGGCGUAAAGCGUGCGCAGGCGGUUAUAUAAGACAGAUGUGAAAUCCCCGGGCUCAACCUGGGAACUGCAUUUGUGACUGUAUAGCUAGAGUACGGUAGAGGGGGAUGGAAUUCCGCGUGUAGCAGUGAAAUGCGUAGAUAUGCGGAGGAACACCGAUGGCGAAGGCAAUCCCCUGGGCCUGUACUGACGCUCAUGCACGAAAGCGUGGGGGGCAAACAGGAUUAGAUACCCUGGUAGUCCACGCCCUAAACGAUGUCAACUGGUUGUUGGGUCUUCACUGACUCAGUAACGAAGCUAACGCGUGAAGUUGACCGCCUGGGGAGUACGGCCGCAAGGUUGAAACUCAAAGGAAUUGACGG
RNAcentral lists this ribosomal RNA (565 nucleotides) under uncultured bacterium. Its description in RNAcentral is "bacterial SSU rRNA". It matches the Rfam family "Bacterial small subunit ribosomal RNA", at positions 358 to 916 of the family's 1533-position model. The record is from RNAcentral.